This 253-nucleotide ribosomal RNA is filed under the name uncultured bacterium. RNAcentral describes it as "partial 16S ribosomal RNA". It matches the Rfam family "Bacterial small subunit ribosomal RNA", at positions 524 to 776 of the family's 1533-position model. The record is from RNAcentral.
UACAGAGGUCCCAAGCGUUGUUCGGAUUCACUGGGCGUAAAGGGUGCGUAGGUGGUCGGGUAAGUCUGAUGUGAAAUCUCCGAGCUCAACUCGGAAAUGGCAUUGGAUACUAUUCGGCUGGAGGGUUGGAGGGGGGACUGGAAUACUUGGUGUAGCAGUGAAAUGCGUAGAUAUCGGGAGGAACACCAGUGGCGAAGGCGGCUUCCUGGCCUGUUCUUGACGCUGAGGCGCGAAAGCUAGGGGAGCAAACGGG